AUGAUAUAUUGGCUUCUUUUUGUUUUCCUGUUGGCAGCCUGUAGAGGUGUCCUAUCAGAGGUCCAACUGGUAGAGUCUGGAGGGGAUAUCAAAAGACCUGGAGAUUCUCUCCGCCUCUCCUGUCGAGCUUCUGGGUUCACCUUUAGCAGCUAUGAAAUGAUGUGGGUGAGACAAGCUCAUGGGAAAGGACUGGAAUGGAUUGCACGCAUCUAUGAAAGUGGGAGCACACAAUACUAUGCCGACUCGGUGAAGGGGCGCUUCACAGUCUCCAGAAACAACCCUUCCAACAUGCUGUAUCUGCAAAUGAACAGCCUGAAACCCGAAGACACGGCUGUGUACUACUGUGCGAGACGCACAGUGUGA
This is a non-coding RNA of Eublepharis macularius, 363 nucleotides long. The record is from the annotation of a RefSeq genome assembly. Lineage: Eukaryota; Metazoa; Chordata; Lepidosauria; Squamata; Eublepharidae.